Hyaena hyaena (striped hyena) is the source of this 910-nucleotide long non-coding RNA. RefSeq lists it as uncharacterized. Lineage: Eukaryota; Metazoa; Chordata; Mammalia; Carnivora; Hyaenidae. The record is from RefSeq and is a predicted model, not a curated record. The transcript is spliced from 3 exons.
CCAUCACUAGAUCUUGAGUUAACAGGUGUCAGGGUCAAAGAAAAUGGUUUUCUCUGUUUCUAUAGGAAACGUGCCCUUCUCUGCCCCCCAGCCCCGCCCCAGGCCGAGCAGUGUGUUCUUGGACACCUAGUGAAUCUGAUUCUCACUGGAAUCUUCAGAGGAGAGACAAGAAGCAUCUUUCUGCUGGCAGAGUCAUUUCAUCGCCCCGACACAGUUUCAGGAACCCGUGUGCUUCUGGGGCAGAGUUCUGGAAACCAAGGCUCAGUAGGACCGUUGUGGUGUUAACGUUGAAGCCAGGCAUCGGGAGUCUGUAAGCAGGUGCAUCUGGCGGCAGAGUCUCCUGCGGGGCUGAAACGCCCGUGCUUUGUUGAAGGUAAAGCGCACUCUGGCCUGCAGCUGAUGGCGAGUGCUUUCAGGGAUGUGACAUAAAACAAGCGUAAGGGGCCCUUGGGAUCCUGGCUUGUGACCUCACUCGCAGGGGAACCGUCUGGAACACUGAAGAAUGAGACGAGGAGCAGGAUGCUCUAGCGAUGGAAUCCUCAUGGUGAGAAAUGCUCUGUCCGCUCCCGAGUGUGAACCAACAUCAUUAAAGGCCGUAUCUCAGGAUUUGAUUCACAAAUCUAUUUAAAAACCAAGGCCGCUGCUUGUAAACCAGUCAGAUACUCUUAUUUUGAAGUGUUUUUCCUUUUGUUUGAGGCCUUUUUAUUUGUUUAUUUUGAUGUGUCUGUUCUGCUUUCUUGGAUUUGUUCUAAUCGUUAUCUUUCUAAGAAGGUUUCCUGUCAGUCUUCGAAGGAAAAAAAUCUUCGCUGAAUCCGUUAUCUUGCGAAGCUUGAAAUGUUGGCACCAUUUCUGUGUCAUUUUCUGUCAUUGUUCCUGACUUCCUUCUUCCUUCUUCCCUAAAUGUGGCAAA